Molecule: small RNA, 126 nt
Filed under: unclassified sequences
Description: LOOT RNA
Rfam family: LOOT RNA
About the family: Latescibacteria, OD1/Parcubacteria, OP11, TM7. Lineage (Microgenomates, aka OP11)
Source: Rfam by way of RNAcentral
UACCAUAAACUCCGCAGCCAAGCUAUGGAGCAUGGUUAACAAAUCCAUCCAAGGUAAAGAUCUCCACGUCUAGGAGUUACCUUGGAUGGUCAUGCGGGAAACCGCAUGGGUGGCCGAAAGGCUGUC